UACGGAGGGUGCAAGCGUUAAUCGGAAUUAUUGGGCGUAAAGAGCUCGUAGGCGGCUUGUCACGUCGGGUGUGAAAGCCCGGGGCUUAACCCCGGGUCUGCAUUCGAUACGGGCUAGCUAGAGUGUGGUAGGGGAGAUCGGAAUUCCUGGUGUAGCGGUGAAAUGCGCAGAUAUCAGGAGGAACACCGGUGGCGAAGGCGGAUCUCUGGGCCAUUACUGACGCUGAGGAGCGAAAGCGUGGGGAGCGAACAGG
Molecule: ribosomal RNA, 253 nt
Filed under: uncultured bacterium
Lineage: Bacteria
Description: partial 16S ribosomal RNA
Rfam family: Bacterial small subunit ribosomal RNA
Source: RNAcentral